GUCCACGCCGUAAACGAUGAGUGCUAGGUGCUAUGGGUAUUGACCCCUGUGGUGCCGUAGCUAACGCGUUAAGCACUCCGCCUGGGGAGUACGGCCGCAAGGCUAAAACUCAAAGGAAUUGACGGGGGCCCGCACAAGCGGUGGAGCAUGUGGUUCAAUUCGACGCAACGCGCAGAACCUUACCUGGGUUAAAUCCACUCGAACCUGCCAGAGAUGGCGGGGUGCCUUUCGGGGAACGAGUGAGAAGGUGCUGCAUGGCUGUCGU
Molecule: ribosomal RNA, 265 nt
Filed under: uncultured bacterium
Lineage: Bacteria
Description: partial 16S ribosomal RNA
Rfam family: Bacterial small subunit ribosomal RNA
Source: RNAcentral